UGCGUAGGCGGGGCAAUUAGUCAGUGGUGAAAUCCUGCGGCUUAACCGUAGAAUUGCCAUUGAUACUGUUGCCCUUGAGUAUAGUUGAAGUGGGCGGAAUAUGUAAUGUAGCGGUGAAAUGCAUAGAGAUUACAUAGAACACCAAUUGCGAAGGCAGCUCACUAAGCUAUUACUGACGCUGAGGCACGAAAGCGUGGGGAGCGAACAGGAUUAGAUACCCUGGUUGUCC
RNAcentral lists this ribosomal RNA (229 nucleotides) under uncultured bacterium. RNAcentral describes it as "partial 16S ribosomal RNA". It matches the Rfam family "Bacterial small subunit ribosomal RNA", at positions 568 to 796 of the family's 1533-position model. The record is from RNAcentral.